Molecule: ribosomal RNA, 492 nt
Filed under: uncultured bacterium
Lineage: Bacteria
Description: partial 16S ribosomal RNA
Rfam family: Bacterial small subunit ribosomal RNA
Source: RNAcentral
AGUGAACGCUGGCGGUAGGCCUAACACAUGCAAGUCGAACGGCAGCACAGUAAGAGCUUGCUCUUACGGGUGGCGAGUGGCGGACGGGUGAGGAAUACAUCGGAAUCUACUUUUUCGUGGGGGAUAACGUAGGGAAACUUACGCUAAUACCGCAUACGACCUACGGGUGAAAGCAGGGGAUCUUCGGACCUUGCGCGAUUGAAUGAGCCGAUGUCGGAUUAGCUAGUUGGCGGGGUAAAGGCCCACCAAGGCGACGAUCCGUAGCUGGUCUGAGAGGAUGAUCCGCCACACUGGAACUGAGACACGGUCCAGACUCCUACGGGAGGCAGCAGUGGGGAAUAUUGGACAAUGGGCGCAAGCCUGAUCCAGCCAUACCGCGUGGGUGAAGAAGGCCUUCGGGUUGUAAAGCCCUUUUGUUGGGAAAGAAAAGCAGCAGGUUAAUACCCCGCUGUUCUGACGGUACCCAAAGAAUAAGCACCGGCUAACUUCGUA